RNAcentral lists this ribosomal RNA (1372 nucleotides) under unidentified marine bacterioplankton. Its description in RNAcentral is "bacterial SSU rRNA". It matches the Rfam family "Bacterial small subunit ribosomal RNA", at positions 9 to 1371 of the family's 1533-position model. The record is from RNAcentral.
GAGUUUGAUCAUGGCUCAGAUUGAACGCUGGCGGCAGGCCUAACACAUGCAAGUCGAACGGUAACAGGAAGAAGCUUGCUUCUUUGCUGACGAGUGGCGGACGGGUGAGUAAUGUCUGGGAAACUGCCUGAUGGAGGGGGAUAACUACUGGAAACGGUAGCUAAUACCGCAUAACGUCGCAAGACCAAAGAGGGGGACCUUCGGGCCUCUUGCCAUCGGAUGUGCCCAGAUGGGAUUAGCUAGUAGGUGGGGUAACGGCUCACCAAGGCGACGAUCCCUAGCUGGUCUGAGAGGAUGACCAGCCACACUGGAACUGAGACACGGUCCAGACUCCUACGGGAGGCAGCAGUGGGGAAUAUUGCACAAUGGGCGCAAGCCUGAUGCAGCCAUGCCGCGUGUAUGAAGAAGGCCUUCGGGUUGUAAAGUACUUUCAGCGGGGAGGAAGGGAGUAAAGUUAAUACCUUUGCUCAUUGACGUUACCCGCAGAAGAAGCACCGGCUAACUCCGUGCCAGCAACCGCGGUAAUACGGAGGGUGCAAGCGUUAAUCGGAAUUACUGGGCGUAAAGCGCACGCAGGCGGUUUGUUAAGUCAGAUGUGAAAUCCCCGGGCUCAACCUGGGAACUGCAUCUGAUACUGGCAAGCUUGAGUCUCGUAGAGGGGGGUAGAAUUCCAGGUGUAGCGGUGAAAUGCGUAGAGAUCUGGAGGAAUACCGGUGGCGAAGGCGGCCCCCUGGACGAAGACUGACGCUCAGGUGCGAAAGCGUGGGGAGCAAACAGGAUUAGAUACCCUGGUAGUCCACGCCGUAAACGAUGUCGACUUGGAGGUUGUGCCCUUGAGGCGUGGCUUCCGGAGCUAACGCGUUAAGUCGACCGCCUGGGGAGUACGGCCGCAAGGUUAAAACUCAAAUGAAUUGACGGGGGCCCGCACAAGCGGUGGAGCAUGUGGUUUAAUUCGAUGCAACGCGAAGAACCUUACCUGGUCUUGACAUCCGCAGAACUUUCCAGAGAUGGAUUGGUGCCUUUGGGAACUGUGAGACAGGUGCUGCAUGGCUGUCGUCAGCUCGUGUUGUGAAAUGUUGGGUUAAGUCCCGCAACGAGCGCAACCCUUAUCUUUUGUUGCCAGCGGUCCGGCCGGGAACUCAAAGGAGACUGCCAGUGAUAAACUGGAGGAAGGUGGGGAUGACGUCAAGUCAUCAUGGCCCUUACGACCAGGGCUACACACGUGCUACAAUGGCGCAUACAAAGAGAAGCGACCUCGCGAGAGCAAGCGGACCUCAUAAAGUGCGUCGUAGUCCGGAUUGGAGUCUGCAACUCGACUCCAUGAAGUCGGAAUCGCUAGUAAUCGUGGAUCAGAAUGCCACGGUGAAUACGU